Molecule: unclassified non-coding RNA, 345 nt
Filed under: soil metagenome
Description: partial contains 5.8S ribosomal RNA, internal transcribed spacer 2, and large subunit ribosomal RNA
Rfam family: 5.8S ribosomal RNA (bases 1-119)
Source: RNAcentral
GAUGAAGAACGCAGCGAAAUGCGAUACGUAAUGUGAAUUGCAAAUUCAGUGAAUCAUCGAGUCUUUGAACGCACAUUGCGCCCCCUGGUAUUCCGGGGGGCAUGCCUGUCCGAGCGCCAUUGCUGCCCUCAAGCACGGCUUGUGUGUUGGGCCCCGUCCUCCGAUCCCGGGGGACGGGCCCGAAAGGCAGCGGCGGCACCGCGUCCGGUCCUCGAGCGUAUGGGGCUUUGUCACCCGCUCUGUAGGCCCGGCCGGCGCUUGCCGAUCAACCCAAAUUUUUAUCCAGGUUGACCUCGGAUCAGGUAGGGAUACCCGCUGAACUUAAGCAUAUCAAUAAGCGGAGGA